RNAcentral lists this ribosomal RNA (440 nucleotides) under uncultured bacterium. Its description in RNAcentral is "partial 16S ribosomal RNA". It matches the Rfam family "Bacterial small subunit ribosomal RNA", at positions 338 to 795 of the family's 1533-position model. The record is from RNAcentral.
CCUACGGGAGGCAGCAGUGAGGAAUAUUGCACAAUGGGGGAAACCCUGAUGCAGCGACGCCGCGUGAGUGAGGAAGUAAUUCAUUAUGUAAAACUCUAUCAGCCAGGGAGAAAAUGACGGUACCUGAGUCAGAAGCCCCGGCUAACUACGUGCCAGCAGCCGCGGUAAUACGUAGGGUGCAAGCGUUAUCCGGAUUUACUGGGUGUAAAGGGAGCGUAGGCGGCAGUGCAGGUCUGGAGUGAGAGGCGGGGGCUCAACCCCCGGACUGCGCUGGAAACUGUCCGGCUGGAGUGCAGGAGAGGUAAGCGGAAUGCGCGGUGUAGCGGUGAAAUGCGUAGAUAUCGGGCGGAACACCAGUGGCGAAGGCAGCAUACCGGCUUCGCACUGACGUUGAGGCUCGAAAGCGUGGGGAUCAAACAGGAUUAGAUACCCUUGUAGUC